Long non-coding RNA from Amblyraja radiata (thorny skate), 365 nucleotides. RefSeq lists it as uncharacterized. NCBI's taxonomy places the organism in Eukaryota, Metazoa, Chordata, Chondrichthyes, Rajiformes, Rajidae. The transcript has 3 exons. The record is from RefSeq and is a predicted model, not a curated record.
GUUUAUGGGCGGAUCAGAUUCACAGCUUGGGAGUCGUUGAAGUAAAACAAAAACACCCGCCCCAUUGGUCCGAAUGGAAUAGCAAACACACAAGUUGUGAGAUCUACACAGAAAUCUAGGCAGAACGUGAUUGCGAUGGUGAGAACCACAGAAUUUUAGAACGCUUGUCACCAUCAUGGCUGAAGGUGGCGAUUGUGGAAGGGAUGCAGUGACAUCUACAUCAAGUAAACAUAAAGGUGGGAAAUUAACUCAAGUGGGCAAGGUCCUCAAAAGACUUUGGCCAGGCACCAAAUCAAAGAAAGAUGGCCAGAACACAGGAACAACGACAGAAAAGCAAAGUCGGAUUGAGAGUAGAACCUCAAUGG